Molecule: ribosomal RNA, 486 nt
Filed under: uncultured eukaryote
Lineage: Eukaryota
Description: SSU rRNA
Rfam family: Eukaryotic small subunit ribosomal RNA
Source: RNAcentral
AUAAGCACUUGUACUGUGAAACUGCGAAUGGCUCAUUAAAUCAGUUAUCGUUUAUUUGAUUGUACUUUACUACAUGGAUACCUGUGGUAAUUCUAGAGCUAAUACAUGCGAAAAAUCCCGACUUCUGGAAGGGAUGUAUUUAUUAGAUUAAAAACCAAUGCGAGUCUUCGGKCUCGUUUUCUUGGUGAUUCAUGAUAACUUUUCGAAUCGCAUGGCCUAGCGCCGGCGAUAUUUCAUUCAAAUUUCUGCCCUAUCAACUGUCGAUGGUAAGGUAGUGGCUUACCAUGGUUAUAACGGGUGACGGAGAAUUAGGGUUCGAUUCCGGAGAGGGAGCCUGAGAAACGGCUACCACAUCUAAGGAAGGCAGCAGGCUCGAAAAUUACCCAAUCCCAAUUCGGGGAGGUAGUGACAAGAAAUAACGAUACGGGGUCUUAAUAGGUCUCGCAAUUGGAAUGAGUACAAUUUAAAUCCUUUAACGAGGAUCAA